This 371-nucleotide ribosomal RNA is filed under the name uncultured bacterium. Its description in RNAcentral is "bacterial SSU rRNA". It matches the Rfam family "Bacterial small subunit ribosomal RNA", at positions 29 to 425 of the family's 1533-position model. The record is from RNAcentral.
AACGAACGCUGGCGGCAGGCUUAACACAUGCAAGUCGAACGCGUGCAGCAAUGCACGAGUGGCGCACGGGUGAGUAACGCGUGGAUAUCUGCCCUCUGGUUCGGAAUAACCCCGGGAAACUGGGGCUAAUACCGAAUGGUUCCUACGGGAUAAAGAUUUAUCGCCAGAAGAUGAGUCCGCGUCCGAUUAGCUAGUUGGUGAGGUAACGGCUCACCAAGGCGACGAUCGGUAGCUGGUCUGAGAGGACGAUCAGCCACACUGGGACUGAGACACGGCCCAGACUCCUACGGGAGGCAGCAGUGGGGAAUAUUGGACAAUGGGGGCAACCCUGAUCCAGCCAUGCCGCGUGAGUGAUGAAGGCCUUCGGGUUG